GGUCCCAGGAGGACUAGUGGUUAGGCCUCGGGGCUAUCACCUCUGCAGCCCGGGUUCGGUUCCAGGGAACCA
Pangasianodon gigas (Mekong giant catfish) is the source of this 72-nucleotide non-coding RNA. The record is from the annotation of a GenBank genome assembly. NCBI's taxonomy places the organism in Eukaryota, Metazoa, Chordata, Actinopteri, Siluriformes, Pangasiidae.